RNAcentral lists this ribosomal RNA (520 nucleotides) under uncultured Glomeromycotina. Its description in RNAcentral is "SSU rRNA". It matches the Rfam family "Eukaryotic small subunit ribosomal RNA", at positions 569 to 1091 of the family's 1831-position model. The record is from RNAcentral. Lineage: Eukaryota; Fungi; Glomeromycota.
AGCAGCCGCGGUAAUUCCAGCUCCAAUAGCGUAUAUUAAAGUUGUUGCAGUUAAAAAGCUCGUAGUUGAAUUUCGGGGUUAGUAGAUUGGUCAUGCCUCUGGUAUGCACUGGUCUUACUGAUUCCUCCUUCCUGAUGAACCGUAAUGCCAUUAAUUUGGUGUUGCGGGGAAACUGGACUGUUACUUUGAAAAAUUGAGUGUUUAAAGCAGGCUAACGCUUGAAUACAUUAGCAUGGAAUAAUGAAAUAGGACGUUCGAUCUUAUUUUGUUGGUUUCUAGGAUUGACGUAAUGAUUAAUAGGGAUAGUUGGGGGCAUUAGUAUUCAAUUGUCAGAGGUGAAAUUCUUGGAUUUAUUGAAGACUAACUACUGCGAAAGCAUUUGCCAAGGAUGUUUUCAUUAAUCAAGAACGAAAGUUAGGGGAUCGAAGACGAUCAGAUACCGUCGUAGUCUUAACCAUAAACUAAUGCCGACUAGGGAUCGGAUGAUGUUAAUUUUUUAAUGACUCAUUCGGCGCCUUAA